RNAcentral lists this ribosomal RNA (724 nucleotides) under Bacillus sp. (in: firmicutes). RNAcentral describes it as "bacterial SSU rRNA". It matches the Rfam family "Bacterial small subunit ribosomal RNA", at positions 40 to 746 of the family's 1533-position model. The record is from RNAcentral. Lineage: Bacteria; Bacillati; Bacillota; Bacilli; Caryophanales; Bacillaceae.
CGGCGUGCCUAAUACAUGCAAGUCGAGCGAAUUUAAAGGAGCUUGCUCCUUUAAAUUAGCGGCGGACGGGUGAGUAACACGUGGGCAACCUGCCUGUAAGACUGGGAUAACUUCGGGAAACCGGAGCUAAUACCGGAUAAUAUCUAAGACCACAUGGUCUUAAAUUGAAAGAUGGCUUCGGCUAUCACUUACAGAUGGGCCCGCGGCGCAUUAGCUAGUUGGUGAGGUAAUGGCUCACCAAGGCAACGAUGCGUAGCCGACCUGAGAGGGUGAUCGGCCACACUGGGACUGAGACACGGCCCAGACUCCUACGGGAGGCAGCAGUAGGGAAUCUUCCGCAAUGGACGAAAGUCUGACGGAGCAACGCCGCGUGAGCGAUGAAGGCCUUCGGGUCGUAAAGCUCUGUUGUUAGGGAAGAACAAGUAUCGUUCGAAUAGGGCGGUACCUUGACGGUACCUAACCAGAAAGCCACGGCUAACUACGUGCCAGCAGCCGCGGUAAUACGUAGGUGGCAAGCGUUAUCCGGAAUUAUUGGGCGUAAAGCGCUCGCAGGCGGUCCUUUAAGUCUGAUGUGAAAGCCCACGGCUCAACCGUGGAGGGUCAUUGGAAACUGGGGGACUUGAGUGCAGAAGAGGAGAGCGGAAUUCCACGUGUAGCGGUGAAAUGCGUAGAGAUGUGGAGGAACACCAGUGGCGAAGGCGGCUCUCUGGUCUGUAACUGACGC